CCUACGGGAGGCAGCAGUGGGGAAUUUUGGACAAUGGGCGCAAGCCUGAUCCAGCCAUGCCGCGUGUGGGAAGAAGGCCUUCGGGUUGUAAACCACUUUUGUCAGGGAAGAAACGGCUUUUUCUAAUACAGAGAGCUAAUGACGGUACCUGAAGAAUAAGCACCGGCUAACUACGUGCCAGCAGCCGCGGUAAUACGUAGGGUGCAAGCGUUAAUCGGAAUUACUGGGCGUAAAGCGUGCGCAGGCGGCUUUGCAAGACAGAUGUGAAAUCCCCGGGCUCAACCUGGGAACUGCAUUUGUGACUGCAUGGCUAGAGUACGGUAGAGGGGGAUGGAAUUCCGCGUGUAGCAGUGAAAUGCGUAGAUAUGCGGAGGAACACCGAUGGCGAAGGCAAUCCCCUGGACCUGUACUGACGCUCAUGCACGAAAGCGUGGGGAGCAAACAGGAUUAGAUACCCUGGUAGUCCACGCCCUAAACGAUGUCAACUGGUUGUUGGACGGCUUGCUGUUCAGUACGAAGNUAACGCGUGAAGUUGACCGCCUGGGGAAGUCGGCCGCAAGGUUGAAACUCAAAGGAUUGACGGCNGNGAGNGCGAGCGACGACGAGGAGGAGG
RNAcentral lists this ribosomal RNA (613 nucleotides) under uncultured bacterium. Its description in RNAcentral is "bacterial SSU rRNA". It matches the Rfam family "Bacterial small subunit ribosomal RNA", at positions 338 to 944 of the family's 1533-position model. The record is from RNAcentral.